ACGUAGGGGGCAAGCGUUGUCCGGAAUUACUGGGCGUAAAGCGCACGCAGGCGGAUUAAUAAGUCAGAUGUAAAAGGCUGAGGCUCAACCUUGGUUCGUCAUCUGAUACUGUUAGUCUAGAGUAUGUGAGAGGGAAGUGGAACUCCCGGUGUAGCGGUGAAAUGCGUAGAUAUCGGGAAGAACACCAGUGGCGAAGGCGGCUUCCUGGCACAAGACUGACGCUCAUGUGCGAAAGCUAGGGUAGCGAACGG
RNAcentral lists this ribosomal RNA (251 nucleotides) under uncultured bacterium. RNAcentral describes it as "partial 16S ribosomal RNA". It matches the Rfam family "Bacterial small subunit ribosomal RNA", at positions 525 to 775 of the family's 1533-position model. The record is from RNAcentral.